GAGGCCUUAUUUUAAUGAAAAUAUCUGGGUUGCAUUCAGGUGAUGUAGGAGAAGGUCCUAUAGGUCUUU
Molecule: transfer RNA, 69 nt
Filed under: Phrynocephalus versicolor
Lineage: Eukaryota; Metazoa; Chordata; Lepidosauria; Squamata; Agamidae
Description: tRNA-Ala
Source: RNAcentral